Molecule: ribosomal RNA, 440 nt
Filed under: uncultured bacterium
Lineage: Bacteria
Description: partial 16S ribosomal RNA
Rfam family: Bacterial small subunit ribosomal RNA
Source: RNAcentral
CCUACGGGUGGCUGCAGUGGGGAAUAUUGCACAAUGGGGGAAACCCUGAUGCAGCGACGCCGCGUGAGUGAAGAAGUAUCUCGGUACGUAAAGCUCUAUCAGCAGGGAAGAAAAUGACGGUACCUGACUAAGAAGCCCCGGCUAACUACGUGCCAGCAGCCGCGGUAAUAAGUAGGGGGCAAGCGUUAUCCGGAUUUACUGGGUGUAAAGGGAGCGUAGACGGCAGCACAAGUCUGGAGUGAAAUCCCGGGGCUUAACUCCGGAACUGCUUUGGAAACUGUGCGGCUGGAGUGCAGGUGGGGUAAGCGGAAUGCCUAGUGUAGCGGUGAAAUGCGUAGAUAUUAGGAGGAACACCGGUGGCGAAGGCGGCUUACUGGACUGUAACUGACGUUGAGGCUCGAAAGCGUGGGGAGCAAACAGGAUUAGAUACCCGUGUAGUC